RNAcentral lists this long non-coding RNA (210 nucleotides) under Nicotiana benthamiana. RNAcentral describes it as "long non-coding RNA (NBEN_LNC003000)". Lineage: Eukaryota; Viridiplantae; Streptophyta; Magnoliopsida; Solanales; Solanaceae. The record is from RNAcentral.
ACAAAUUGAAAAAGAAGUUUAAUAUUAAACUCAAUAAUAGAAAAGUGAAUACAAAUCACACAAGUUGAACAGUGUUAGCCUUGAGGGUUCGUCACCCUCGAGUUAGAAAGUGCCUCAAUCGACGUCAGAAUAGAAUAACAAGAUAAUGAGAACUAAAAAUAACGGUGUAUUGUCUUUUGAUGUGUGUUACAAUGUGUCUAACAAAUUAUC